RNAcentral lists this long non-coding RNA (399 nucleotides) under Gossypium raimondii (Peruvian cotton). RNAcentral's name for it is "long non-coding RNA (GRAI_LNC009903)". Lineage: Eukaryota; Viridiplantae; Streptophyta; Magnoliopsida; Malvales; Malvaceae. The record is from RNAcentral.
AAUUUCUUUAAGUGUUUCACUUGGUCACCAAGGCUUCAAGUAGAUGGGUUUCUCCACAUGUUCCACGGGUUGGGCCAGUUCAAGUAGGUUGAAUGAGCUCUAUUUCAUCAAUUGACCUCGAUAGGACGCUCUUUACGCAUUUUUCACGAGUUUUGAUCCUUAGCCCGUGGCAUUCUCCCCCACCCAUUCUCACAAUGCCUUCGUUGUGUCCUCAGAAUGAGACUGGUUUGAUUCGCAUUGGAACUUUCUCGAUACCUCGGCUGAUUCCUGACUAGCCUCUCUGUCAAGUAGUCUCGUCCCUCGAAACAUUUUCCUUAGCUUCCGUUGUCUCCUAAAUCGAACCAUUUCUCCUCUCUUUUGUACAUCUCGUUCGCAAGAGCCUACCACUCUUACUUCCCC